UACGUAGGAGACGAGCGUUGUCCGGAGUUACUGGGCGUAAAGGGUGCGCAGGUGGCGGCGCGCGUGGGGGGUGAAAUCGCCCGGCUUAACUGGGCGGGGGCCUUCCAGACGGCGUGGCUUGAGCAGCGGAGGGGGACGUGGAAUUCCGGGUGGAGCGGUGAAAUGCGCAGAUAUCAGGAAGAACACCCGUGGCUAAGGCGGCUCUCUAGUACGGUACUGACGCUGAGACGCGAAAGCGUGGGGAGCGAACAGG
RNAcentral lists this ribosomal RNA (253 nucleotides) under uncultured bacterium. Its description in RNAcentral is "partial 16S ribosomal RNA". It matches the Rfam family "Bacterial small subunit ribosomal RNA", at positions 524 to 776 of the family's 1533-position model. The record is from RNAcentral.